CCUACGGGAGGCAGCAGUGGGGAAUAUUGGACAAUGGGCGAAAGCCUGAUCCAGCCAUGCCGCGUGUGUGAAGAAGGCCUUCGGGUUGUAAGGCACUUUCAGUGGGGAAGAAAGCCUUGGGGCUAAUACCCUCGAGGAAGGACAUCACCCACAGAAGAAGCACCGGCUAACUCCGUGCCAGCAGCCGCGGUAAUACGGAGGGUGCGAGCGUUAAUCGGAAUUACUGGGCGUAAAGCGCGCGUAGGCGGUCUGAUAAGCCGGUUGUGAAAGCCCCGGGCUCAACCUGGGAACGGCAUCCGGAACUGUCAGGCUAGAGUGCAGGAGAGGAAGGUAGAAUUCCCGGUGUAGCGGUGAAAUGCGUAGAGAUCGGGAGGAAUACCAGUGGCGAAGGCGGCCUUCUGGACUGACACUGACGCUGAGGUGCGAAAGCGUGGGUAGCAAACAGGAUUAGAUACCCCUGUAGUC
Molecule: ribosomal RNA, 465 nt
Filed under: Vreelandella stevensii
Lineage: Bacteria; Pseudomonadati; Pseudomonadota; Gammaproteobacteria; Oceanospirillales; Halomonadaceae
Description: partial 16S ribosomal RNA
Rfam family: Bacterial small subunit ribosomal RNA
Source: RNAcentral